This 469-nucleotide ribosomal RNA is filed under the name uncultured bacterium. RNAcentral describes it as "partial 16S ribosomal RNA". It matches the Rfam family "Bacterial small subunit ribosomal RNA", at positions 28 to 508 of the family's 1533-position model. The record is from RNAcentral.
GACGAACGCUGGCGGCGUGCUUAACACAUGCAAGUCGAACGGAAAGGCCCUGCUUUUGUGGGGUGCUCGAGUGGCGAACGGGUGAGUAACACGUGAGUAACCUGCCCUUGACUUUGGGAUAACUUCAGGAAACUGGGGCUAAUACCGGAUAGGAGCUCCUGCUGCAUGGUGGGGGUUGGAAAGUUUCGGCGGUUGGGGAUGGACUCGCGGCUUAUCAGCUUGUUGGUGGGGUAGUGGCUUACCAAGGCUUUGACGGGUAGCCGGCCUGAGAGGGUGACCGGCCACAUUGGGACUGAGAUACGGCCCAGACUCCUACGGGAGGCAGCAGUGGGGAAUCUUGCACAAUGGGCGGAAGCCUGAUGCAGCAACGCCGCGUGCGGGAUGACGGCCUUCGGGUUGUAAACCGCUUUCGCCUGUGACGAAGCGUGAGUGACGGUAAUGGGUAAAGAAGCACCGGCUAACUACGUGC